GACGAACGCUGGCGGCGUGCUUAACACAUGCAAGUCGAACGGAAAGGCCCUGCUUUUGUGGGGUGCUCGAGUGGCGAACGGGUGAGUAACACGUGAGUAACCUGCCCUUGACUUUGGGAUAACUUCAGGAAACUGGGGCUAAUACCGGAUAGGAGCUCCUGCUGCAUGGUGGGGGUUGGAAAGUUUCGGCGGUUGGGGAUGGACUCGCGGCUUAUCAGCUUGUUGGUGGGGUAGUGGCUUACCAAGGCUUUGACGGGUAGCCGGCCUGAGAGGGUGACCGGACACAUUGGGACUGAGAUGCGGCCCAGACUCCUACGGGAGGCAGCAGUGGGGAAUAUUGCACAAUGGGCGGAAGCCUGAUGCAGCAACGCCGCGUGCGGGAUGACGGCCUUCGGGUUGUAAACCGCUUUCGCCUGUGACGAAGCGUGAGUGACGGUAAUGGGUAAAGAAGCACCGGCUAACUACGUG
This 468-nucleotide ribosomal RNA is filed under the name uncultured bacterium. RNAcentral's name for it is "partial 16S ribosomal RNA". It matches the Rfam family "Bacterial small subunit ribosomal RNA", at positions 28 to 507 of the family's 1533-position model. The record is from RNAcentral.